GUAGGUGGCAAGCGUUGUCCGGAAUUAUUGGGCGUAAAGCGCGCGCAGGCGGUUCUUUAAGUCCGAUGUGAAAGCCCACGGCUCAACCGUGGAGGGUCAUUGGAAACUGGAGAACUUGAGUACAGAAGAGGAAAGCGGAAUUCCACGUGUAGCGGUGAAAUGCGUAGAGAUGUGGAGGAACACCUGUGGCGAAGGCGGCUUUCUGGUCUGUAACUGACGCUGAGGCGCGAAAGCGUGGGGAGCAAACAGGAUUAGAUACCCUGGUAGUCCACGCCGUAAACGAUGAGUGCUAAGUGUUAGGGGGGUUUCCGCCCCCCUUAGUGCUGCAGCUAACGCAUUAAGCACUCCGCCUGGGAGUACGGCCGCAAGGCUG
This 373-nucleotide ribosomal RNA is filed under the name uncultured organism. RNAcentral's name for it is "partial 16S ribosomal RNA". It matches the Rfam family "Bacterial small subunit ribosomal RNA", at positions 527 to 896 of the family's 1533-position model. The record is from RNAcentral.